CCAUCGACCAGGUAGUCUUGAGGGACAAGUUGGGGAGGGAAGGCCUUCCCAAGUGCCAAAAUCGUAGCUCUACCAGAGCUGGCCUUUCCCAUUUUGCAGGGACAAGGAAGCUAUUAAUAAAGUGACACUACCUGUUCAUCACCUAGAAAGGCAGUUUGAAUGCUCAAAGUCUACAAUGGAAGGCAUGUGAUUUGAAAAUAAGGAACUUUGAACAUAUCUGCAACAUAGGCAACUGCUGCUCCCUGAAAUUCAAAAUCAAUGAGUUAGAGACUUUGAUGGAAUUUUGAAGCGAAAGAAAUCUAUGCCAGUGUCAGCCUUUGCUAACUCCAGGUUCAUCAUCGACGUGAAAGCUAUUCGAAACAGGAACUUCAAAUACGUUUCAAAGAAAACUAGGAGCCCUUACAUCACAUUGAAGGUCAGAAGUGACUACCUAAUAACAUCGCAGUACCAAAACAAACUAAUGCUGUGGAUUAUCCAACUUAGAGAGAAUAAAUAUACCAUAAUGUUAACUCUAUUUAAUUCUUUCUGAAAGAA
This is a long non-coding RNA of Cucurbita moschata (crookneck pumpkin), 534 nucleotides long. RefSeq lists it as uncharacterized. The transcript has 4 exons. NCBI's taxonomy places the organism in Eukaryota, Viridiplantae, Streptophyta, Magnoliopsida, Cucurbitales, Cucurbitaceae. The record is from RefSeq and is a predicted model, not a curated record.